RNAcentral lists this ribosomal RNA (155 nucleotides) under Ophioceras leptosporum. RNAcentral's name for it is "5.8S ribosomal RNA". It matches the Rfam family "5.8S ribosomal RNA". From Rfam's summary of the family: 5.8S ribosomal RNA (5.8S rRNA) is a component of the large subunit of the eukaryotic ribosome. Lineage: Eukaryota; Fungi; Ascomycota; Sordariomycetes; Magnaporthales; Ophioceraceae. The record is from RNAcentral.
AACUUUUAACAACGGAUCUCUUGGCUCUGGCAUCGAUGAAGAACGCAGCGAAAUGCGAUAAGUAUUGUGAAUUGCAGAAUCCAGUGAAUCAUCGAAUCUUUGAACGCACAUUGCGCCCGCCGGAAUUCCGGCGGGCAUGCCUGUUCGAGCGUCAU